AGCGAACGCUGGCGGCAUGCCUAACACAUGCAAGUCUGACGGGCUUCGGGUUUCGGCCUGAGGUCAGUGGCGGACGGGUGAGGAGCGCGUAGGAACGUAUCCAAGGGUGGGGGACAACCGCGGGAAACUGCGGCUAAUACCGCAUGGGGCCUGGGGGGAGACUUCUGGGCCAAAGGUUGAGCGAUCGACCGCCGAUGGAGCGGCCUGCGUCCGAUUAGCUAGUUGGUGGGGUAACGGCCUACCAAGGCGGUGAUCGGUAGCUGGUCUGAGAGGAUGA
Molecule: ribosomal RNA, 277 nt
Filed under: uncultured bacterium
Lineage: Bacteria
Description: partial 16S ribosomal RNA
Rfam family: Bacterial small subunit ribosomal RNA
Source: RNAcentral